GCGUCGGUGGUGCAACGGUUCAGCACAUGCUUUAGGAAAGAAAGAUCUGAGUUUCAAUCCCGGCUGACGCA
Non-coding RNA from Parelaphostrongylus tenuis, 71 nucleotides. NCBI's taxonomy places the organism in Eukaryota, Metazoa, Nematoda, Chromadorea, Rhabditida, Metastrongylidae. The record is from the annotation of a GenBank genome assembly.